This is a long non-coding RNA of Dermochelys coriacea (leatherback sea turtle), 1104 nucleotides long. RefSeq lists it as uncharacterized. NCBI's taxonomy places the organism in Eukaryota, Metazoa, Chordata, Testudines, Dermochelyidae. The record is from RefSeq and is a predicted model, not a curated record. The transcript has 2 exons.
ACGACUGCAGGAUUUGCCUAGUAAGAUGCUUGAAGAGUUGUCACAGUUUGAUCUAACAACUUUGUUGUGUGGUGAUUUUUUUAAGAACUGGUGCAUUAGAGGAGCAUUUUGGGACCUGUAGCUCAGCAUUACCUGUCUAAAUGGAUACUGGCACAUUUAAAAAAUUCCCACUGACAAUUUAAACAAUUCAAGAUUCUGAUGAGCCCCUUUUAAACAUUGUGGAAACAAUUAUUUACCUAAAUUCCUUUAUAAAAUGUUGAUUUGCAAAAGGUGUUUUCUGCUCCCCUGUGAUAUUUGCAAGGGUCUAUCCAGCAGGGAAGAGUGGCAGCACCAAAUAUGCUUGAACGCACCCUCUCCUUCCUCUCUGGGCACAGGCCUGUUGGCCGACUUCUCUGUUUCAGUUUUGCAGCUGUUAUUACAGGUAAACACCCUUUUGCAACGUCUGAGGGGCACAAUAUGUAUGCAGACAAGCCCUCGACCCCAGUCAAAAGCAGAGCAGCAUUGGACUGGCCACACAGCGGUGAGAUCAGCUCAUGCAUAAGACAGGAUGCGUAACUGAUCAACAAAACAGCGAAAGUAACUCCUCGCAAACCAGUUGCCAGUGCAUAAGGGGAACACACUAACGAAAAAAACCCAAUUGUUUUCAUAGCUAUAGGAAUCUUACUGGGUAUUUAUAACAGUAAUCCAUAGAAUUUCCAGCUGGAAAUGUGAUUCCUAACUUGUAAACGUCCCUGUAAAUCACUGUCAGAAUAAAAUCGCUUUCAUUUUAAUCUCACAGAAGUUUUUUUUUUUAAAUCGUUUCUAAACAUAGCUGCAGCGCUAACAAAAGUCUGAGUUAUUUUAAAAUGUUUUGACAUGUAACUAGUCUUCAAUACUGAUUAAUAUAAAUACGGGCUGCAUUGAGUUAUGUAACAGGUAAUGUAACGGGCCCACAAGACGGCCCACCCAAGGGACCUAUCCCCCAUGCACACACCCACGCACUGCUAGGCCUUCAACCAACCAAGUGUGGGUGGCUUCCAGCAGAACUGCAUGCUGAAGAUUAUAUAAAAGAGACACAGACUUUAAUUAAAUUAAGAUUUUGUUUUUUUUAAAUAGUUAAAGGGG